RNAcentral lists this long non-coding RNA (37367 nucleotides) under Panax ginseng (ginseng). RNAcentral's name for it is "long non-coding RNA (PGIN_LNC013680)". Lineage: Eukaryota; Viridiplantae; Streptophyta; Magnoliopsida; Apiales; Araliaceae. The record is from RNAcentral.
GGAUAUUAUUUUUUUUUCGUAAUGAUAUUAUUUCUUCAAUAUCAUUAUGCUGAAAUAUUGAUCUGAAGUUUUUAUCAAAUUUGGAACUUUUGGUGUCGGAGUUACUAUUUACGUAUACGGCACUAUUCACGUAUACGGUACUAUUCACGAAUACGGCACUAUUCAUCGAAAAAUAAAAAAUUUCCUUUUCGUCCAAAAUAUCUAUUGUGGAUACUAGUUUUGAUUGUAUCCAUGUUUUGAUCAUUCUUGAAUUUUACACCACUAUGAUUAUUUUUGAGGUAUUUUUGGACGUGGAUAAAACAAAGUACGAAUCCUUAAUCCUUAAUCAUUGUCAUUUUGUUUCUCUGGAUUCGUUUCUUUAAAAAAAAAAUAUUUUUCAUCAUCUUCAGUCUUAAAUGAUGAUAUUAUUGAAUAUCUUUGGCCUGUAGUGCAAAGAUGAUUGAUUUCUGAUGAAUAUCUUUGACCUGUAGUGCAAAGAUGAAUGAUUUCUGAUGAAUAUCUUUGGCCCGUAGUGCAAAGAUGAACAGGUGUUUAGAUGAACAUGACCAACUGGUGAAUGUCCUUGGCCUGUAGUGCAAGGAUGAAUAUAUAAUUCCAGAUAUAUAUUGAUUGAUGUUACAGGGAUAAAAAUAUUGAUGAUGGACUGUUAAAUUCAUAGAUAUUAGUAGAUUUCAUCCUCUACGUAACUCUUCUAUGAAUGAAUAUUUUCCGCUGCGAGUAUUGAUUUAAAACUGGUUGUCUAUUGUAUUCUAUUAAAUUUUUUCCUGUUGAAGACUAACGAUAAUUUGUUGUAUAUUAUCUUAGUCAUAAUAUUCUUUACUGGGCUAGUUGAGCUCACCCUUUUCCUUUUUGUUCCAUUUUUCUUCUCAGGAGGCGAGAAUGUAGCGAGUACGAGUCGGGGUAUGGAAUGAUGGUUUUAGAGAGUUGUUUAGUAGUCCUCACCAUUUUUGUAAAAUAAUGUAUCAAUAAUUAUGAUGAGAAUUUAUUUGUAUGUGGAUAUUGUUUAGAUGUCAAUAUCUGUAUUUAAACUCACAGUUUUACUGUUGUAAUAAUAAAGUUGUAGUUAUUUCUGUACCGUGUAUUGACAACUCAAAAUGGGUGAUGUAUACCUAUUUUGGGGGUGUCACGUUCUGUCUCAUCUACUGUCCCAUGUUAUUAAGCUUAACAUAAUUAUUUUUUAUAAUUAACUUUUAUAGUGGAUAAAUAUUACUUGACAACAAUACAUGUGAUGAGAUGCUGGAUCAGAUACGAAAAUGGAUAACAGAUCUGAAUUCCUUAAAAUAUUACGAAAAUGAUAUACAUGUUGAUAAAUAUUUGACGAAAUUAGAUUGUAAUAAACGUGGAAGUCUAUAUGAUUACGAUAAACGUCGAAGUUAGAUUACUUCUACUUUUUGAUGUAUCAUGUAUGCAUCUUUCUCUAAUAUUUUUAAAAUAAAUAAUAAUCUAAUUUAUAUUAUUUUUAUAACAUAAGAAAUUUAAAUAUUUAUUAACAAAUUUGUGAUUUGAAAGACGUAUUAGAGGUCAAUAAGGUGUGUGUGUGUAUAUAUAUACGGUCCGGAUCAAGUGCAUACCCCUUAUCUUACUCACCCGUGCUCACCCCCUUUAGCGACGGACCCGGCGACGGUUUGGUCAUACAACUGUCGUCUAUACUUUUAGCGACGCUAUAUGUUGUCCGUCGCUAAAAGUAUAGACGACGGUUGUAUGACUGAAACCGUCGCUGGNNNNNNNNNNNNNNNNNNNNNNNNNNNNNNNNNNNNNNNNNNNNNNNNNNNNNNNNNNNNNNNNNNNNNNNNNNNNNNNNNNNNNNNNNNNNNNNNNNNNGAACCGGGCGACGAUUCGGUCCGUCGCAAUAUAUAGAACCGUCGUCUUAGCUUUUAGCGACAAACAACAUAUAGCGACGGACUGAACAUAUAGCGACGGACCGAAUCGUCGCCCGGUCCGUCGCUAAAGGGGGGUGAGCAAGGUGAGCUAAAUAAGGGGUGAGUUUAAGAUCCGUACUGAUUAGUUGUUAUGUUAACAAUAUUGUAACCAAAUAUAUGAUUUAUUUAUACAAUCGACCAAAAAGCACAAAAUUAUCUAAAAGAAUUGGUUCAGGAGCACUUUCCCGAACCCCAAUUAAAUUAUUUAUAGCAUCAAAAUAUUUUAACCCCACUGAAUAAAAAACUAUGGCUUCGCCACCGGUUGAAACAUAUGAACAAAAUUAGAGCCACGGAGGAGUUCCUGCUUUGCAGGAACUUGAAUGUGUAACUACUAUGUUCUGCCUAACCAUUUCACCAGAGAAUGAACAUAUUAAAUAUUCUGCCUAACCAUUUCCACUUGUUUGAUGACUAAUAUUUUAAAUAAUUUAUUGGACAAAAAAUCUAUGCUUUUACUGUUCUUUUCCUCUAAUAAUGGAAUAUGAUGCCUUGUGUUAAAGAAAUCACAAGAAUUUGAGUUGAUGUCAAAGGUGGAUCCUCUCAUUUCUAAAUUUGGAAGGCUGACGAUAUAAACACUAGCUACUUAGUUGACCAAAUUGACUUGACUUAAUUAAAUUAGGGCAUCAUUUGGUUACUAGCUAUAUUUACUUUCAUUUUUAUUUCCUAAUAAGAUUUGAUGUUUACACCUCAAGAAAGGCUAACAAUCUGUGUAUGGUUUGUUAAUUGUAAGAGCAGUAAAUCAGUCCAAUAUAUAUUCCUCACUUUUCUGCACAUGAUUGCUUCUACCUUUUCCUUUUGCUACCCAGCCAAGGAAGCUGUACUCUUCUCCACCUUAUUUGGAAUGAUUUUAGUACCUUUUAUUCAUUUGUUAGAGAAUAAUAAUGCAAGCGAAAAGAAAUUGAAAGAAAAAUAAUCAAACAAAAGACACAAAUUUUAAGUGAUUCAUUUGAACACUCGGCUGUAAGUAAAUCAGUCUCACUAUCUACAUAAUUCAGUACAAGAUCACUUAUUGAAUAACUUCAUAAUUACCUUUAAAUCAAAGUCGAGUCGAAUCGGAUUCAUUAAUAAUAUCAUUCACAUUUCCAAAUUCUAGGGUGCUAUGAGGACCAGUUUGGACAAGUUUGAUGGUGUACAAUAAAACAAGAGGUAAAAUGAAGUCACUGUGAUAGGUUAUCAUUUUUAUUUAUUAAAAUUCACAAAAGUUAGGUUUUGAGGGUGUCCCAUCUAGACAACUUGCUAAGGUCCCUUGGCUUUAAGAUACUAUCUAUCCACAUGCAGGUGGAGGGCCCUGCAUACAGACAAUAUGCAGGUAAUUGCACACUAGGAGACUGUACAACAAUAGCCAUAUCAUUUUAUUUAGAAUCCUUAUUAUCUCAAGUCCAUUUCAAAAAAAGUUCAUUUCAAAUGGAUUCCUCACUUUUAACCUUGGAAAAAAUAUGUUCUUCAGGCCUAUGUGGUCCUUCCCCAUGAUUGGAAAUUUGGAAACAUUAAUUUUCUAGUUGGUUUUCUUAUAUGGUAGAUGACUGGAUAUUGUCAUUGAGCCUUUGUGGACUCCAUGCCUUUAUGAAUUUAGUUGGAUUAGGCCCUCUCUUUUAUGGGUUGACAAGGGAAUCUUAAAACCCUGACCAUGAUUAGGGGAUGCCUAAUUACAUGGUCCAUCCAUUCCACUCAACUAGUAGAAAAGCUUGAAAACCCCACCAUGAUGGAAUCUUUGAAUAAAGUUUUAUGAAAGAAAGCUUUCUGAAUGGACAUGGGAAAGUACUAAAAGAGGUUGUUUUGGUGAUGGAAUGUUCCAAAAGAUAAGGAGAGAUAAGGGCACAAGUUACAUGAACCAACAACCAAUAAGAAAUGCAGAAUUUCAGUUAGUAAGACAUGCUCUUUAGGAGAUUGGACAUUGGUUAUGUCUAAAAGAGACAAUUAAUGACCCAUUUGCUGUUAGUAGUAUAUUCGAAUAGAUUAGAUAGAUAUGUUUCAUCUUUUCAAGUCAAAUAAGUACAUCUUGUUAUGUAAAACAGAGGUGUAUUCCUUGGUUAGAGUUUGGUUCCAUAAAUUUUCCUUAAAUUGGAUACUAUGUAGAGUGAUGUAUAGGGCAUAUUUUUCUGUUGGUGUGCCAAUAAUAUAUUAACAACAUUGUUAAUCGAGUUAAAUAUCAUUGGACAAAAAAAAUGGUAUUGCUUGUGAUGUGCAUUGAGCAAAUAGCAAUAUAGUAAAACUUCUGUAAAAAAAAUUUCAGGGUUAGUUCAAUUGGUACAUACCUACAAAAAAAUCUAGAGGUCACUAAAUCGAGCUUGAAUACCCAAACAGUUCAGACUCGAUUCAAACUCGACUCGAAAUAUAAAUAAUUUAAAUAUCAACAGAUUUUAAAAUUUGAUAAAUUAGUAGAAUUUUCUCAAAUUAUAAUUUUCUAUUGAUAUUUGAAUCAUAUUCGUUCGAAAAGUUUAAAUUGCUCUGGCUCAAUUCGAGAUCAUGUUCAACUCGGUAGCUAAACGAGUCUCAAUCAAAUUUUAUUUUAUACUAGAUGAUAUGUUUGUUUGCGAGGAUUACAUUUGGAUUCGAAAAGUUCAAACUGUUCGGGCUCAAUUCGAGAUCAUGUUCGACUCCGUAGCUAAACGAGUCUCAAUCAAAUUUUAUUUUAUACUCGAUGACUAUGUUUGUUUACGAGGAUUACAUUUGGGUUCGAAAAGUUCAAACUGCUCGGACUCAAUUCGAGAUCAUGUUCGACUCGGUAGCUAAGCGAGUCUCAAUCAAAUUAUAUUUUAUAUUUAAUGACUAUGUUUGUUUGCGAUUAUUAAAUUUGGGAUAUGACUAUUAAUGUCAAGUGUUUGUUUGUUUUUAAAUUUGGACUUUGGACUAUUAGUCCAAGUUUAUAAAAUGAUAGUAUGAGGGAUUAUUUAAUACCAUGUUCAACUAAAUAUUACUACCUUCGUUCCUUAAUAUAGGUCGUUUUAGAGAAAUAUUUUUGUUCUUAAAUAUAAGUCGUUUGAGAAUUUCAAGUAAGCAUUAAUUGAUUAGUUUCCAAUAUUACCCCAAGUAAUAAAUAUAACUUUAGUUCUCUCACUAUUUUUUGACCAAUAAAUAGUACUCUUUUUUUCCAAUAUAAGGGCAAUAUAGACAAUUGAUAAUAUAUUUAAUGUUUUACAAUCAUUUUCUUAAUACUUGUGCAUAACUCUAAAACGACCUAUAUUAAGGAACGGAAGGAGUAUAAUCCCAUCAUUUAGAACUAAAAAUUUCACAAAAUUAACCUCAAAUUUAUCAUAUUCUAUUCAUUUAUGAGCCAUUUCAAAAUUCCAAACGAUGAAGAGAGCUUUACUAAAAAAGAACAUGAGAAUUCAGGAUAUGAAGAUAGAAUAGCAUGACCAAAAAAGAUUCAAUGGUCUUUAAGAAACUAACCAACUGAAACUAUUAAGUAAUGUAAAAAUGUCAGAAUAUAUGUCUGUUGCAUAUUUUGUUUUAAAAUUAUAGAUAUAUUUUGAAAUAAUUUUUUUUUUUUUGAAAAAUAUUUUAAAGAACAUGUUCUUGAUAUUUGUCAAAAAUUUAGUAAAAUUAAAAAUACAUUUUUUUGUUUUAAAAUUAAUGAAUUGAACAAAAUAAUUUUUAAUUUUUAAACGAAGGAACCAAAUAUUUUUUCGUACACAAGACCAUACAUAUAAAUCAAUAAAUCUCUAGAUACACAUAAUUGUUCCAAGAUAAUUAUGAUAACGUUCCAUAAAAAUCACAACUAAAAAAAUUACCAUAAUAUCAUCCAAAUAUUGUUAUUUACUGUUAGUUAAUUUAAUAUUAUUAAUUAUCUUAGUUAAUUUACUGUUAGUUAAUUUGUAUCUUUAUUUACGAGCACAGCUAACUUAUUUUAACGGUAUUUAAAAGUUUAAAAUUAAUUGUUCAUCAUUUUUUGAUGUCUAAACAAGUUUAAAUUAUAGUUUAAAAUAUGUUAUUAUUGGUAAGGGUAUAAUAGUCGAAAUGGUAAUUUUUUAUCGAAUACUUUAAUUAAUUCUGAAAAAAACAAACAUAACAUGAGAUUAUUUUAAGUUAUCCCAUAAAUAAUCUCAUUAUAAAAAACAAACAUGUGAUUAGGACUAUUUAAUUCUAGGAUUAAUAGUCUUGGGAUUAUAAUCUCAUGUAUUAUAAUCCCGGGAAUAUAAUGUUUGCAAACAAAUAUGGCCGAUAAAUUUUAUGAACUAAAUUUGAGUAUUUUAAUACUCGACUCGACUCGGUUCAUUUAUAUGUGAUUUAAUUAAUAAGAAUACAGAGGAAAUUUGCACUAUGUUUGUGAGUUUUGGAUAUGAAAAAAUAUCCUUUGACUAUAAUUAACAAAUCUCUCACUAAAUAAUUAAUAAUUAAAAAAUAUCUUUUGACUAUAGUUACAGUGCAUAAUUAAUUUAAUAAAUCGCUCAGUAAAUAUUUUUUAAAAAAGAUAAAUUUGAAAUUGUGAUAUUUUAUUUGAAAAAAAAAUAUUUUUUCAAAUAAAAGUGUAUAUAUUUAUGACACUACAAUUUUAUUUUAUUUUUAAAAAAAUCAAAAAUAAAAUGAUUCUUCCAUUUCAAACAGGAGUGGAUGUAUAACACAAACUAAUCCAACCCAACCAAUUCCUGCACCAAGGCCCAAGAAAAUAAGUUUGCUGAGGGAAAAUAUUUAGGGUCCUUAACACUAAUAUACAACAAUUAGAAAGUAAUUAUAGAAAUAAAAUAUCUAUAAAAUAAUUACAAAAAUAACGCAACACAAUAUUACCUUGCUAAAAUUACGCGUCAUUAACUCCCUACACGUCAGUUACCGACUUUCAUAUUUUCAACUGACCAAUCUUAAAUUCACGCUAAUAAAGAAAAAAGGUAACUUGGAGAUCAGAAAAAACAGAGCAACGACAGAUCGAUCGGAGAAGACGAGAUGCAACUCUGAGAUCGGAUAAUAGAGGAGAAAAUCAACAGCAACUUCAAGAUCAACAACAACUUCAACAAGAUCAACAACAACUUCAAGAUCAGAAAUCAACCUGUGUAACAACUUUGAGUUUAUAGUUUAUAUGCAUAUAAUUACCCCGUGGGUACUAUAUACUCGUAUAUUGGUUACCUUUCUUAAGUUUUUCGCUCUUUAAUUGGUAACAAAGUCAGUAUACUGACUGUUUUGAUUUCAAAAUGCAUGUAAAAAUAUGUUUUAUAUUCUGGUUACUAAGUACAUAUAAAUUGGUUACUGUUUAUUAUUGAUUUGGUUACUGUAUAAUGUUUAUUUGGUUGCUGUAUACUUUAAAUGUAUAUUCUACUGAUGUUUUUUAUAUUGAUGGUUACUUAUUAAAUACAUUGGUUACCUUCCUGCAACUGUUGAAUCUUUAAGUACAUAUUGAUGUUUUUUAUAUUGAUAUUUUUUAUAUUGUUUGUUUUUGCUGUAAAAUGCAUGUCAAAUAUGUUUUAUGUUAUGGAUACUAAGUAAAUAUAUGUUGGUUACUGUCUAAUCUGAAUUUGGUUAGUAUAUAAUGCUGACUUGUUUACUGUGUAAUAUUACCAUGGUUACUACAUAAUAUUACUGUGUUUUAUACUGAUUUUUUUUAUAUUGAUGGUUACUGAUUAACUACAUUGAUUAACUUCAUACACAUGUUAGUCUUUAAUGAAGUGACAUUUGAUCCAGUGACAUUGAUUAACUACAUUUGAUCCAGUUUAUGGAAAGAUUUGAUAGAUCACGAAAAGAUUUGAUCCAGUGACAAUUUGGCAAUUUCUGUCAAGUUUGGAGUGCCGAAUUUUGGCAUUUUCGGAGCCUAAUUUCAUUGAAAACGGGUCAACGAUCAAAAGUCACCAGCAAAGCUGGUGAAUUGCAGGGUUUUUUGGUCAAAUUCCAUCAUUUAGGCCUUCAAAAUUGCUUGUAAAAAUGUGAUUUAUAUUCUGGUUACUAAGAUUAUGUAAUUUGGUUACUGUCUAAUAUUGAUUUGGUUACUUUACAAUAUUUAUUUAGUUGUUAGACAAUGGAGACUGACAGUAACCAAUACAACAAAUUUAAUUGUUACAAGAAUAUAUAAUUGUUUACUGUUAGUAACCAUUAACCACAUGGUUGGUAACAUUUUUGAUGGUGUACAGUAACCAAAAUUGAUGUUGAUUAAUAUUUUAAUUUUUGAUUCCAUCGUGAGUUAUCAAUAUAAAGUAAACAUAUACAUUGAACAAUUGGUAACUGUUCUGAAAUAUUUUUAUGUAAAUUUAGUUACCCAUCUAAAAUAAAAUGGUUACCUCUAUAUUCAUAUUUAGUUACCAAUUGGCAUGAACCAUUUCCAAAUAACUUUUAUAACUACGUAAUUUAAAAGUAUCCAUGAUCAGCUAGAUAAAUGGAAACACUCUCAUGUACAUUAAGCACUUGAUAAUUGUUCUGAUAUAAGUUUUUAAUUAUUUGGUUACUAACAAAAACUAAAAUGGUUACCCUUAUAUGCAUGUUUGGUUACCAACUGCACCUUUUAAGCUAUUUUUAUUUUAAUAUGAGAUCUAUAAGUGACCAUCAUAUAUAUAAAUGAAAACUCUUAAUUGGAGUUUCUUAUUCUAUCAUGAUGAUAGGGUAUAAAUAAAACAUAUACCUUUAACACUUUAUAACAGUCUUGAUACAAGUUUAUAAUUAUCUGGUUACUAACAAGCUUGUAACUAUCUAUGAUAAUUAUCUAUGAUAAUUAUCUGGUUACUAACAAGCUUGUAGAUAAAUAGGACACUCACACAUGUACAUUUAACAAUUGAUGUUUGUCCUGAUUUAAGCUUGUAACUAUUUGGUUACUAAUAACAGUAACCAUAAUGUAACAUAAUAAAAUAGUAACCACAUAAUUAUAUGAUAGUAACCAGAACAUGUUUUAAUGGUAACCAAAAUAGAAACAUCAUGUAAUGAAACUCAGUUUAGACAAUCCAUGUAUACUAAACAAUUACAUAUUAACUAGAAUAAAAAAUAAAAGUAUCUGAAAUCCCACAUUGAGGACACAAUAAUAGUAGCCAAACCAUAAGGUAACAGUAACCAAAACCUAAUAAAGAAGUAACCAAAUAGUUAUAUGAAAGUAACCAGAACAUGUUUUAAUGGUAACCAAAACAGAAACAACCUAUAUAUCCAAUCAAGUUUAGGCAACCCAUGUAUACUCUCACAUGUACAUUUAACCAUAACUUUUUUAAUGAAUUUUUUAGAAGAGCAUAACCCUUGUAGAAUAUAUUUGAAGGAAUUUACAAAAAUAAUAAAUCAAUGUAUACUAAGUAAAUACAUGGUUUAUUAUGACUUGAGUUUAUUAUUUACAAAAAUAAUACAUCCACAAACUAAUGAUGCCUUAAACUUCUCCAACUGACUUGGGUUCAAUUUCUUGGUAAUAAUGCUGGGGACUUUUAUGUCACACCAAUAUAUAACUUUUUCAGUUAAUUUUCUGUUGCAUUUCUCAUAGUAAAGAUCCCAUAACUGCAAAUAAACAAAAUUAGAUUUACACAGUCAUUAGUAACCAGAUAUAAACAAUAUUUAUAACAUAAAUAGUUACGUAGUGACCAACAAAUAACAGCAUACUAACCAAAACAUAAUAUACCAAUUACACAGUAGUCAAAACAGACUAUAACAAAUAACCAACAUCCCACAUUGACUGCACAAUAAUAAUUAUCAUAUCAUAAUAUAACAUUAAUCAUACCAUAAUAAAGCAAUAACCAAAAAGUUAUAUUAUAUAAUCUAAUGGUGACCAAAAUAUAAACAACAUGUAGUACAGACAAUUUUAUGUAGUAAACAAACAGUUAUAUAUAAUAUUAACCAAAACAUAAUUUAAAGGUCACCAAAACAAAAACAUGUAUACCAAAAAAUUAUACUAAAGAAGUAACCAAACAGUUACAUGAUAGUAACCAAACCAUAUUUUAAUGGUAACUAACACAUAAACAACAUGUAUACCAAACCCAGUUUAAUCAACCAAUGUAUACUAAGCAAAUACAUUGGAACCAAAAUAACAUAUAAAAAUAACCAAAAUCUCAAUUGAGGGAAAAAAAUGGUAUCCAAAUCAUAAGUCAAUAACAACAAAAAAUAUACUAAUGAAGUAACCAAACAGUUAUAUGUUAGUAACCAAAACAUAUAUUAAUGGUAACCAAUACAUAAACAACAUAUAGACCAAACACAAUUUAGUCAACCCAUAUAUACUAAGCAAAUACAUGGUAACCAGAACAACAAAAAACAAUAACCAAAAUCCCACUCAAGGAAACAAAAAUAGAAUUCAAAUCAGAAACUAACAAUAACCAAAAACAUAUAAAGAAGUAACCAAAUAUUUAUAUGAUAGUAACCAAAAUAUGUUUUAAUGGUAACCAAUACAUAAACAACAUGUACACCAAAAUCAGUUUAGUCAACCAUGUAUACUAAGCAAAUACAUGGUAACCAUAACAACAUAAAAAAGUAACCAAAAUACCAAAUAAAGGUAACAAAAAUGGUAUCCGAAUCACAAAUAACAGUAACCAAAACAUAAUGUAAAAGUAACCAAACAGUUAUAUGAUAGUAACAAUAACAAAAUUUAAAUUAGCACACCUUUAAAAAUUUUUGGGUUGGAAAUAUCUUCUGGCUAUGAACUUGAGCUUCUGUCUUAACUACAGGAACAUCAAAAUCAGAAUCCAACUGCACAAACUCAAAUAAAUUUCUUCAAGUCCUUAAUAAAAUGACCCUCUGUGAUUCUUUUCCUCUUUCCAUCCUUCUUCCUUGUAUCAAUCAUUCUAUACAAAACAUAAAAACAACUCAAACUCAAACAAUCAAUACUCCAUUCUGUUAGAAACAUAGCGUAUAUAUAUGAUCAUAUUGACAAUUAAUUAGUAGAAUGAGAAUUAACAAAAAUUAGAAGCAGACCUUAUAGAGAGAAACCAGAAUCCUUUCAGUUGUGAGAGAGUUGGAGAGAGAAAGUCGCGUAUUCGACUGUGUGAUUUGUUGAUUAACAAGUGCGGCAAAAGUAAAUUAAAAAAUAAUUAAUUUACGCCACCAAUUAGUUAAUUAGUCUAACAACUGUGAUGAAGAAGAAGAAGAAGAAGAAGAAGAAGAAGAGAGAGAAAUACGAGUACAAAAGUUAUGGAGAAGAAGAAGAAGAUUUUAGAGAGAGAAAUAUCAGUAUAAAAAUUAUGGGAGUUGAGAGAAAAAGAAGGGUUAACAACAGAUAUUCACGCGUUUCAAAUAAAAAAUCACCAGAUAAUGAUCCCCUAAAUUAAGGAAUCCUAAUUGCACUAAUAUUGUAAAUAAAUAUGAAAAAGUGUAUUAUUUUUGUAAUUAUUUUAUCUAUGCACCAUUAUUAUAAUUAUUUUUAAAAAUAUACUAGUAUAUGUAAUUUAUCCAAAUAUUUAAGGACCUCCAAUCCAGCAUACACGAUGGAAUAAGAUCCAAGUUUAAUAUUUAACCGGUCCAUUUCAAGGGUUCACCCCCUUAUUUUACAUACAAUGUCCAUCCUUUUUAGCGACGGACCGGGCGACAUUUCGAUCCGUCGCUAUAUCAGAGAACCGUUUUCUUAAUUUUUAGCGACGGACAACAUAUAGCGACGAACCGAACCGUCGUCCAAUCCAUCGCUAAAGAAUAUGUAAGGUAUGUAGGAUCAAGGGGUAAGCCCAUGAUCCUUUCUUGAUACUUAACUACCUCCAGAUUCAACUUUUAGUUAACUAGCACCCUGCGACACACGUAUUAAGUGUGUAAAAUAUGUGGGAUAAUUCAUACGGUCUUCGCACAAUAGUUAUCUUCGCCCCUUGUGUAUCAUCAAAAUGGUGUGGUUUCAAACUUUGAUAGUGGCAAAUGUUGAGCAUAAGUAUUUAAAUUAUGUCACAAACUAACACCCAAAAAAAAUGUGAGGUAAAAUAAAGAUUUUAUAAAAUUUAAAGAACUAAAUAGAAAGAUAAGAAAAUAAUGUUAGAUGCGCAUAUAUGAAAUAGGAGGGUCAAGAGAACGAAUUUACAUACUAUUAUUUUAUUUUAUCUUUUGCAUUUAGAUAUUAUUUGUAAUUUAUAUACGAAUAAAAUUAGUUGUUAUAUGAAUUAUUUGUCUAAAAUUAUACUUAAAAAUCUUAUUUUAAAAAUAUAUUUUUAAUUUUGAGAGGAAAGGAGUAAUUACAUGGUCCAUCUAUUCCACCUUUGAAUAAAGUGAAGAUGAAAGAAAACUUUUUGAAUGGAGAUGGGAAAGUAGUAGUAAAAGAGGUUCUUUUGGUGAUGGAGUGUUCCAAAGAAUAAGGAGAGAUAAGAGCAUAAGUUACAUGAACCAACCAAUAAGAAUUGCAGGAUUUCAGUUAGUGAAACAUCAUGAUAUGCUGUUUAGGAGAUAGGAUAUUGGCCCAAUAGUUCCCAAUUAAUGACCCAUUAUUUGAUGUUAUAUUCGAAUAGAUUAGAUAGAUUUGUUUCAUCUUUUUAAGCCAAAUAAGCUCAGCUUGUUAUGUAAAACAUAGGUAUUCCUUCUUCAGAGUUUGAUUCCAUAAUUUUUACUGAUAGGGGCUUAAAUUGGAUACUACCUAGAACUAGAAUAAUGUAUAGGGUAUAUUUUUCAUUUGGUAUAUGGCAAGAAUAUGUUAAGAGAACAUUGUUAAUUGAGUAAAAAUAUUAUUGGACUAAAAAACACCAUGAAUGGUAUGGCUAUGGGCAUUGAGCAAAUAGCAAUAUAGUAAAACUUUUGCUUAAUAAAUUUUGAAAACUGAUAUUUUCACAACAGAAAAUAAUAGUUUCACAACAGAAAAUAAUAUUUUCAAAAUAAAAUUGUCAGUAUAAAUCCUAUAACGACAACUUUUAACGUCGUUAUACAUCUAUAACGAUACUCUAUAGGUCACUAAGUUUUGGCUGAAUGGGACUGAUAGGUGACGCACUAUGAAAUUACUUGGUUGUAUGGCUGGUGGCGCAUUUUGUUCACUUGAAUAUUAUAUACCGUACACAUAAAAACUAUUUUGGGUCUAUUGUGAUUUUUUUUUAAAUGUCUGACUAAGGAUGUAAUGAACUGAGUCGAGACAAGUAUUAAGUUGUUCAGAUUUGGUUAACAGAAUUUAUCGAGUAUAAAAUAAGAUUUGAUUGAGGCUCGUUUAGCUACCAAAUCGAGCAUGAUCUUGAAUCAAGUUCAAGCAGUUUGAACUUUUCGAACGAAUAUGAUCCGGGUAUCAAUAGAAAAUUAUAAUUUGACAAGGUUCGAGUAAUUUAUCUAAUUUUAAAAUUUGUUCAUAUUUGAAUCAUUUAUAUUUCAAGUCGAACUCUAAUCAAACAUGUACGAAUCGAAUCCAAACUGUUAACUCAUUUUACAAUCUUAUAUCCGACAUAGAUUAACUACUAUAGUUAUUGUGAUGUUGUUUUGAUAGUCAUUUACUAAACUUAAUGAACCACGACUUGACAAACUAGCAGGUAAUAUUAUACUCAAAAGAUAAGGUAAUAGAAACAAACUUUAACAUAUAUAUACGAAAUUAUUAAAUCUACAACAUAAAUUAUUGUUUUCACAAUAAAAAUGUCGCUAUAGAUUAUAUAGCGACUGUUAUAACGACGGUUUUCACUGUGCUAUAUAUUUAUAGCGACGUUUUUGUCGUAAAAAUAACAAAAAAUAUUGUAAAUUUGACAAUUUCCUAUAUAUAAUAUUUAAUCUUAUGGGUAAGAGUCUUAUUUAAUUUUUAUACGCACAGUUGGACCAAAUCUUUUUGAUAUUUUUUGAAACGGAUAAAUUUGAAAUUGUGAUAUUUUAUUUGAAAAAACAUAUUUUAAAAUAUAAGUGGAUAUAUUUAUGACAAUUUAUAAAUUUUUCUGUUUUGAAAAAAUGAUACUAAGUCCAACCAAUUCUAUCGCUAAAGCCCAAGAAAAUAAGUUUGCUAUUGGAAAAUCUACGAGUAUGUCAUGUGGUUAGCAUGAAGUUUAUUUUUGAAUAAGUUGAUCAAUUGAUUAAUAGAAUGUUAACACGCAGGUGAGAUUAUAUGUAUCAAUAUUUUAUCGACCAACUUAUUAAAAAAAUAAAUUUCAUGAUAGCCGGAUUCGUGAUUUAGUAGUGCUUUGAAUUAUCUUGUUCAUGGCAACUUAAUAUUGGCUACAAAGAGAAAAGAAAAGAAGCAUUCAACUUUGAUGCAGCACUCAUACUCACUUCCUCUAAAAAUUAGUCUUAUUUAACUUUUUAUUCUCUGGCAUUUAAAUAAGAGUUUGGUAUAUUUAUGAAAUCAUACAAAAUCUAAAUAAUAUAAAUUAAAUUAAGUUUGAAAAUAACAAUUCAAAACUAUAAAACUUUAUAAUAAAUUACAACAUCUAUAAAUUAACAAAAUUUAUAUAAAUUUUUUUUAUUAUUAAAAAUGUCUGAAAUUGGAUUUUGAAAAAUUAAACUAGGACCCUUAUUUUUGUAUAUUAAAAUUUACUUAGAAAACACUUGCACAUAGUAAUUUUCUUUUAAAAAAAUUAAUACUAAAUUUUAAAACUAGAUUUUUAUUAUUAAUUUCAAAAUUAAUAUGUAUUUAUUUAAUUUUAAUUAUUGCAAAGUUAACAUUACAUCACAUUUUGAAUUUUAAAUUUUUACAAAUUAACUAAGAUUAAAAUAAUAAUAAUCCUUCGUUCCACACUCAAAAAUAAAUAAUUUUGUUUUUGAAACAAAAUUUUAAAAUUUAAUAAUAUAUUUUAAGCUCUAUCCAGCAUCAAAUAAUAAAAUAAAAUAAAAAUUUAUAUUCAUUAAAAAUUAAACCAGGUACUAUUUUAAUUUUUUUGGAAUGGAGGGAGUACUAAUAAAUUACAUAAAUACUGAGAAAUUAAGAAAACGUAAAAGGAAAAAACGAUGGACUUGAAGCCCUACCAAACUCUCUUUCUUCUCCUCCUCUUCACUUCUCUCUCCACUUACCAGUCUUUGACGCUGUAAAGCAAACCCUAAAUUGAUGCCUCGAGCUUCCUCGUCUUCAGGUGAGAUUUAAACUUUGUUUUCGCAAAUGCUUUUCUCUGCAAGAUUUGUAUGUAUGCAUUUUAUAUACAAAUGCAGUGUUUUACAUAAUUUCUAUUUGGUAAUCUCACCAAUCAUUUUUACACCUUUAUAUUUGCGAUAGAUGUAUCUUUAAAGUUAAAAAAAAGAAGUAAUCUUUCGCUCCCAAGUAUGUUUAUGAAGAAGAAAAGAGGACAGAAUGGGCAAAAGUAAUUGGAGGAGAGAUUUUGAAUGGUAUCUCAGCUUGUAAAGUCUCAAUUGAAUGGAGAUUAUUGUUUUUCUUUUAGUUGUAGUGAUGCAAUAGGAUUUAAAAUACCAAAUUUUAAAUCAAUGGGUUAUAUUUUUCAUUCCUUUAUCCUCACUUUUAUCUGUAUAAUUGGAUAUUCUUGUAACGCGCCUCAUUUUCUUCUCCUAUUAUUUUCGAAUAUAUUUAUCAUAUUUUUACUUUUUUUUAAAAAGGUUGAUGGUGCAUCAUAGUUUAUCAGGUGUUUCUUAUUUUAUUGAGGUUUUGUGGAUUCUUAUUUAAGAUAAUGAAUGAUGGUUUUGUUUUUUUUGGAUGAAUAAGAAUGAAAUGUAGUUCUGAUAACUCUGUAACAGAAUCACGGGUAUAUCUAUCCUUAAGUAGUAUAAAUUUAAAAUAUUUAGUCAUUGUCUGGUUGAUAUGCCCCUGCAUAUGUUGUAUUUUCCUUCUGCAUUUUCCUUACUUACACUUCCUAAUCUGUUUGGCUGAUUCUAUUAUUGUUGAAGUGUUAAUCUCUAUUUUUUUGUCCUAGGAAUAUGAUAACCAAGCACCUGAAUCAUAUAGUAAGUGCUGGUUGAGUUGAACAGCUAAAAAUCAGAUGGUUAGUUAUUAUUUUACACCCCACGGUAUCAUCUGCAGCAUUGGAACUUUCCAUUAGGUUUUUGGCAUUACAAAACCAAAUUCUGCUAUUUCUUUCUCUCUCGCCGACCCAUAUACACAUAAAACCAUGAAUUUGAAUCGCAUCUUUUCCAGGCAAACAGUUAAAAAUAUUACAAGGCUCAAUAGUAGAGUUCUAUCUCCAUACCUACAUUCUUACAAAAAUGCCUCCAUAACCACCCCCAUCUCUUCGCCCAUUCGUUCAACAAAUACUCAUGCGUCUUCUCCUUUCCAAAAUCGUAAAUGUCCAAAACCCAGUUGGUUCUUCUGUAAUUUUUUUCACUCUUCUCAAGUAAUAGAUCUGAAGGAUUCAAGCAGUGAUGUAGAACAUGAUUCUGAUGAUUUAGAGGAUGGACCCAUGAAUGAAUUCUUGUCCAGAUUUGUCUGGAUAAUGCGUGGAAAGCUCUCUGAAGUCUACACUGAAUGUGAUAAGGAAACAGUUAAUGGCAUGCUUCUGAUCAUUGUUGGAAAGGUUGUAUCAGAAAUGGAGAUGGGCGGCCUUGAGCAGAGACUUGGUGCAGCAGCAGUCACCCCAUCAGAUGAUUUCAGUGAGGACUUAUGGAAGACAGUUUGGGAAGUCAGCAACAUGGUCUUGGAAGAUAUGGAGAAGGCAAAGAAGAAGGAAAAAAUGAAGACUUUUCUUCAAGAUGAUGAAGUUAAGGAGAUGUAUAAAUUUGCUGGUGAGGCAGGUAUUCGUGGGGAUAUGCUGAGAGAGCUGAGGUUCAAAUGGGCUCGAGAGAAACUUGAGGAGGCUGAGUUUUAUCAGGGUUUGGAGCGUCUUCGAGAGGAGGAUGCUCAGUUACAAGAAGCAGAGAAAUCUGAAACUGUGAAUGAAGAGACUGUUGAAAGUGAUUUAGUUAUGGCAGAAGAAAUGAAGCCUAAGGUUAUUUCUCUCCCCAAAAGACAUGGGAAGAUAAAAUACAAGAUUUAUGGUCUUGAUCUGUCUGACCCAAAAUGGGUUGAAGUCGCAGAUAAAAUCCACAAGACUGGAGAAAUCAUUUGGCCUCAGGAAGCAAAGCCAAUAUCAGGGAAAUGCAAACUUGUUACUGAGAAGAUCCUUUCACUGCAAGAGGAUGAUAACGUGUCUCCACUGUUAGCUGAAUGGAUGGAACUUCUCAAGCCUAACAGGAUCGACUGGAUUAGUUUGCUUGAUAGAUUGAAAGAACAGAACACGGGUUUAUAUUAUAAGGUACUAUACAAUCUUUAUCUUCAGCUAUCUAUUAGAGUUGCAUGUAUCUCUGUAUUAAGUUAUUCUUUUAAUGACAUCGAUAUCUGCUUUGUUUUACUUUCUCUUAUCUAGAAGUUAAAUUAAGGAAAUAAAAUUGUGAAUGAUUCAGUAUCAUCGUAAUUACAUUGCCCAAUGUCACUUUCUACUCAGCUACUGCAACUAUAAUUGGAAGGCAUGCCACCAUUGAAAGAAACUCAUUUGUAGUUGUUACCCUUCUUUAGAUAUGGAGAAGUCUAGAUUGUUCAUUCUAGUAUGUUUUAUCUAGUAGUAUAAAUAUGAAUACUCCCCCUGAUCCUUUAUCUCAACCUCAGCUUCUUCAGUUUUCUGCCCAUAUUUUUAUACAUUUAGCCUUAGAUAUACCCUUUGAAAUAUAGAUGCCUAACAGAAGCUUUGGGCAUUGACCAGAUUGCAUCAAUGUCCAACGCUGACAGGCGGACGUGAAACUGUUGGUACAUGUUAACUUAGACCAAUUCCCUUUGCAAUGUGUGUAUAAUAAUUAUUGGGAAAUACUAUUUUCUCAUGUGAUUUUGAUAUUUUCUCCCCUUUCACAUGAAAGUGGGACCCAUUUUAUUCUCACGUGAGAGUGUAUCAUGUGAAAACAUCGAAAGCAUAUGUGGAAAUAUCAGUGUCCUAAUUAUUUCAUCAUUUGUGUUUUUGCUCUAUAGUUAUUAGUUAAUGCUUCCAAGAAAAGCAGUUCUUAUCAUCAAGGAAGCCAUCUUCCUUCAAAGAACUUUAUGCAGUCACACUAUUUGAAGUUCCUUUUAAACGUGGAUCCAACACCGCUGUACUCCCCCAUUUCAAGUUCUAGUGUUUAUUGUUAUUUAUAUAACCUUAUAGAUGGAGUAUUAUGAGUGUCCUAUCAGUAUCCUCUUCAUGUUCUGUUUUCUUAAUGUGGUCAAGUUAUCAGCACUUUUCAAGUCUUGUUGAGUCAGUUAGUGUUGAGUUUAUGGUUUCAUGUUAUGUUAUACUAUUCGUGUCUACUAGACUUUUGUCCAUACUACAAGGCCUAUUUGCAUCAUAUGCGUAUGUGAUUAAGGCAUGAAGAAUAUUUAAUAUGUCAGUAGUAUCUGCUAUAUUCAUACUUCUAGUUUAUUUGAGCUUGAUGCUGAUAAUAAUUUGAAGUAUAUGCUUUUCAUGGACUCAAUUGUACUGUAUCUGUGCACCCGAGAAUUCUCUUUCCCUAGAGAGAAACUCUGUUUGUAUGUUGGUUUGCGUUUUUGUAUGCCAGUUUGUUUUCCCCUUAUCCUCUGUUUUUAUGCUGCCAUUGUCUUACUUUGAUAUUACUUCAUAGGAGACUUUGGAGGUAUCAUUUAAUUAGGAUGUUUGGAACAUGCACAACCUAAGAAAAUAUCAGAGCAGUGAUGUAAACAUGGAUUUAUUUUAUUUAUUUAUUACUGAUCUUUGAGGCAUGCUAACACAACUGGUAGUUGGUAACAAUCACUAAUUCUAGUUUGUAUAUGCUGUUAUUCCUAAUAUUUGACUAUUAACAAUUUCUAGGUUGCGGAACUUUUACUUGGUGUAGAAUCUUUCCAAACCAACGAAAGAGACUACUUGAAGCUUAUUGAAGCCUAUGCAAAAGAGAACCGCUUAGAAGAUUCUGAAAGAAUACUUAAGAAGAUGAAUGAAGAUGGCAUCAUACCUAAUAUCCUGACAUUAAGCAUUAUGGUUCACAUUCACAGCAAAGCAGGCAACCUUGAUCCGGCAAAAGCGGCAUUUGAAAGCUUGAGGAGCCAUGGUUUCCAUCCUGAUAUGAAGGUCUUUAGCUCCAUGAUCAUGGCUUACGUAAAUGCCAACCAACCGCGGUCGGCUGAAAUACUGAUUGGAGAAAUGGAUACCAAGGGCAUCAAACCCUCAGAGGAGAUUUAUAUGGCCUUGCUUCAAUCAUAUGCCCGGUGUGAUGAUGUUACGGGAGUCCAAAGAACUUCUAGCGCUAUGCAGUUUGCAGGGUUCCAGCCGAGUGUGGAGUCUUGUAGAUUGGUUGUGGAGGCAUAUGGCCAAGCUAGUGACCCAGAUCAGGCGAGGUACCAUUUUGACUGCAUGAUUAAUAUUGGCCUCAAGCCUGAUGACAGGUGUACUGCUAGCAUGAUUGCGGCUUACGAGAAGAAGAAUUUAUUGGACAAGGCCUUGAAUCUUCUGCUGCAGCUUGAGAAGGAUGGGUUUGAGCCUGGCGUUGCUACUUAUAGUGUCCUGGUGGAUUGGUUUGGUCAAAUGCAGCUGAUUGAUGAAGCUGAAGAACUAGUGGGCAAGAUCGCUGAGCUGGGCGAGGCUCCUCCUUUAAAGGUUCACAUAAGCCUUUGUGAAAUGUACUCGAUGGCUGGGGAUGAGAAGAAGACUCUUCAAGCUUUGGGAGUUCUCAAAGCGAAGAAGGACCAGUUGGGGGCACGGGAAUUUGAGAGGGUCAUAAGAUCCCUUAUUGCUGGUGGAUUUGCGCAAGAUGCUGAAAGAGUACAGGGAUUGAUGGAAAGCCAAGGGCUUAAACCAUCAGAUCAAAUUAAGGUGGCGAUGAAGGCAUCUCAGUCCACCUUUAGCGGCACUAAGAGACCAACGAGAAUGCCUCCCUUUAAGACCGCUUGAGCAUUUUUUGCUUGAUGCAGUUGAAUGGAGUAAAUUGAGCUCUUCAGCAUGACAGUAUGUGAACUAUAUUUUUUUAGUUUGACAUGAUUACUUGUAGUAGUGUAAUAUCCUGGUGAACUGAGAGUAGGAACUAGUAAGUGGUCUUUUCACUAUGAAAUUUGUUCACUAUUGCAGCAUCAAUUCAAAUUAAUGCUUCACAUUCUCAUUUAUUCAUUUGCUAUGCUUACUACUAAUUGAUAAUGGUCGCCGUAUGGAUUGCUUUGGGUUUCAUUUUGCUUGAUCCCAUGAGAAAGUGCAGUUUUUUUUUUGUUAAAAAUACUUUUACAUUUUCCAAGUGCAGUUAUUUUAAUAUAUAGCAGCUUGCUUCUUGGAUUCAAAUGACAACUUUAUGUUAAAAAUACUUGUAUUUUCACCAGUGUAGUUAUUUUUAAAACCAGCAGCCUAUGAUUAAAUGAAUUUAAUUUUGGUCAAUUGAUCUAUACACUGCCAACACGUAGGCGGGAGGUGAUCUAUCUCUGCGUGUAGCACUGAACUGUAUUGAUCAAUUACCUAAUUUACCAUGAAGUUAACUAAUCGGAUCCACUAAAAACACAUCUAAAAAUAGUACUCCCCAAAAUAAAUCCUUUAAAAUAUGUAAAAUUUGCAUACAAGACUCUUUUAGCGGAAUGAAAAGAACAGUAAUUUACCUAUCAUCAGCUGCACUACAAGUAAAUAUUAAAAGAUUAUUUAACAACAUUUAAGGUGUUCUUAUCACACUUGAAGUUUGAAUGGGUUGAGUGCUUGUGUAGCUUCCUAAUUCCCAUGCAAAACUGUUAGGGAUCUAAUUACAAAACGAACAUCACGUCAAUUAAAAACGAAUAAAUUAAAACGUAAACUAAUUACAAAAGGAUGACCUGCCAUAUAAGGAAAGUUUGAUCAGAGAAUCUAUGAAUCUCAAAACACAAAGCAAUUGCCACCAAGUUGGGCAAAGAACCAUGAAGUUAAACAAAAUGGGGGUAUACAACACAGCCAAAGUAUCAAAAGCAAAAACAUAUAUAUUGGCCUAUCUAGCCUUGUUUAUUCUAGGAAACACCAAAAACCAUUUAUUUUUACCAAAUUGUUGUUCAAAAUUCAUCAAAAAUGGGGGAACAAAGGCCAAUGUUCCGGUUUCGCCUACCUUGGAUGCUUCCAUCUGCACCAGCUCCUCCUACUGAAGCUGUAACCCAAAGCCCUCCCCGUGUAACCACAACCCAAACCCCUACAACUUCAGCUGAAACCCAAACUCCUGCUCCUGCUCAAAGGCAACCAUUUAGGUUUGCAAGUAUAGCCCCAUCACAACCACCUCCUCCCCAAGCUCAAACAUCACCAACAACUGAUUCCCAAUUCAAUACCACUCAAACACGGGCUCCCACAACUCAAACCACACUUCAAACUCCAAGCCCUGCCCAGUCGGCUGCUUCUACUUCUACGCUGCCAAUUCCACCUAUAGUUGAAAAACAAAUCCCCACUGAGACCACCACCACUCCUACCCCCACAAUUCCACCUCAGAUGCCGCCAUUGAGGUUUCCAAGGCAAGUUGCUGUACAAGAACCGCUUCCCCAAGCUGAGCCAUUAUCAAAAACCGAGUCUCAGCCCUCUUCACCAUCUCGUGCAUCCCCUCAAUCCCGAGCUGCCUUUCAGCCCCCAUCACCAGCUCGUGCAUCCACUCAAGCACAAGCUGCAUCUCAGCUGUCAUCCCCAGCUCUCCCACAGCCCCAAAAAUCAUCUCAAACAGUCCGUCAGCCUCAAUAUUCCCUUUUGCCCUUUCAGUCUUCGGGCCAAACAUCUUCAGUUCCCUCCUCUCCAUCUCUUACAACCAAAAAAGUACAACCAACAGGAGGAACAGCUACUCAGCCCCCUUCUCCAUCGAAAACAUUAAAACCCAUAGAGAGCUCUCAGCCUCCUCCCAGUUCCCAUAAGGCCCUAUCACCUGUCUCUGAAGAGGACCGAAACCUAGCUGUGCCUCAACCACAAUCACUAGCGGCUCAGUCCAAGACGGAUAUUACAAAGGGUCCAACCCCCACCUCCCCGAUUAAAGCAACCAUUCAACCCACUGUGACUGUAGCACAGCCUUCAAAGCAACCAGGUCCUACAGAAGCUACUGCACCAACUCCUGUGGUGGCUAAAGAGAUACCUUUCCCAACAACGAAAUUAGAUGAUUACCCCAAGUCUCUCAAAAACUCGGAUGGAUAUCCCGUGGAAACUAAAAAAGAGAAGGAAAUGGUGCAAAAUACCACUGCAGUGGCACAUGAAGAACCAAAGCAGAAAACAGUUGCGGAGUAUUUGACUGAGGAAUCAGGCUCAAUAGCACAAACGAAGGAGCAGCCAAAGGUUGCAUAUCAAGCAGAAGAAAAGCAAGAGAUGGUUCGCGAAAAGGAGGUACCAAAUUUAGAUACCUCCAUCUUGAAUGGAAAAAAACCUAAACCCAUGAUUUCGCACCAGAAAGACAAAAGCACUGCAAGUGAAUCUCGUUCAAAACCCAUGGUAUCAAACGGAGAACGAGUUUCCCUGCAAAAAGAGAUAAGGAAUGACAUAUCUAAGCUUGUUCGUAAGAUGUCUACUGCACACCCAGAGCAUCCUAUGGAGGAGAAACCAUUGAGUGUGAUAAGCCUGGUUGGUGAAAAUAGAGGAGCAUCCAUGCAACUAGAUUUUGAGGCAGCGAAAAGAAAAGCAGUCCACAUUCACGGAGGCUAUAAGAUCAAUCCCGAUGACAGUGCUGAAGCCACCACUGAUGGAGAGGAAAGCUCCAAGGACAGAAGGUCAAAAGAUGCAAAAACCAAAGAAGAUCAGGCGACAAAAGCAUACAUAAACAGCAAUAUCCAAAAUAUCAAUAACUCAAUUCUGUUGAACAGUUCCAUCGCGGAAAGGAAUCCCGGUGUCCACCUAGCUCUCUCUCAUCAUCCAACAAAGCCCAUCAAGUCUAAUGAGAGAACAAAAUCCCACGAUACACGCAAGGCUGAAGUCAACAUUACCCCUUCAGAAAAGCUCACCUAUGAACCCACCAUCCUCAGAGGCCUCUAUAUGGCGCCAAGUGAGUCUGACCCAGAUAAUCCUGAAAAGCCUUGGUCUCUUGGAUCUCGCUAUGGCUGCAGCGAUGAGAACAAAGAUAAUGAGGUAGAUGUUAUCUGACAAAGUAAAUUGCAAUUAUUACUCAAUAACAGAUGCCGAAAGAUAUCAGAGUUCUUUACAUAAUAAGGAUGCUACAUCCACAGAAACAUGCUUGCCAUAUUGAAAGAUAUCAGAGUUCUUUACAUAAUAAGGAUGCUACAGCCACAGAAACAUGCUUGCAAUAUUCAGUACUAGAUGCCGGAAGAUAUAUCAAAGUUCUGUACAUAAUACGUAAACAGUAAUUAUAAGGAUGUUUCAUUGUCCACAGAAACAUGCAUUUUGAUUGAAUUCUGGAUUUGCAAAUCAUUAGACAUUUUCCAAGGAAAAUUGCCUUAUAACGUAAUUUUCUUUCAAUUAUUAAAAUCUUAUUACACAAUAUUACAUAUCUACAACUAAUAAGAAAUUCUUCUGUAACUAAAAGACUAACUUCCUGAAAUAAUAACAUCGUGAAGAUGAAGUUAAACACAAUUUCGGUUCUUCUUGGAUUUGGAUACAAUUUUUGAAACUGACAUCACAUAAAUCAACAGAUGCUCUCCAAAACUCUUCAUAGAUGACAAUGGUAAGGCGUAAAGAGCUUUCUUCAAGAAAAUACCUACAAACAACUUCCAGAAACAGAAAAUGACAGUUAUUCGCAGGCGGGUUUAGUAUCAAAGCUGCUUAAACAUAUAGCAAAGGCUUGGAAGGCAGAGAGAGGGUAGCGAUAAUCCAUGGUAAAAAUGUCCUUCCCAAUCUUUCCAAAUUGUAGUAUCACUUUCUCUUGCUCUACAGAUGGAAUGUCUUGGGAUGAAUCAACAGCUGCAACCAGCUGGAAGUUCUUAACAGAAGCCACGGUAACACGUCCUUUAAAAUUCAGACACCAACAUUGCAACUGCUCAUGCCAUCUAGGAGCUUUAUUUUUCAAAACUAAUGGAUGUCCUGUGUUGUGGAUCGAUUCCAAUGGUUCAGCAAGACUUGUGGAGCUAAUGUCUUGAUCUUUCCCUUGCCAAACUGAAGGGGGAGAUAACUUCUUAUCAAUGCAAUUCCUAAAUGUUGAUGGAGUAGGGGCAGUCCCCCCUUCCUGAAUUGAAGCAGAGGGUAUCAAGUGCAUGGUGCAUUGCAUUCUUCUUGGUCCUCUUGUGCGUAGAACAUUAAGCUCAUAAGAUACAGUGGCCACUUUAUGAUUACCAACUGGUACACUUGGCGAAACCUUCUUCAAAUUUACUUUUUGAUAUGAACGGACAUUAGACACAGUUGAAGGCUCACAUGGAGGCUGACUGUCGUAAAUAACAAACUUGGUGCCAAGGAAGUUGGACCUGUUUGUAGUUUUCCAUUAAUUUUAUGACAAAAAAAUGGAAUUGUUCAAAAUUAGGUAAACAUAUAUUUUAAAUCAAAAGAAAUAAGGAAAUAAAGGAAAACAUGCCAUUAAAGCUCACCUCAACUUUCCAACAUAAGCAUCACUGGCUCGAGAAAAAUCAUCUGCAACCAAGGAUAUAACAAAUUCUGUUUUUGUGGCCCUUCUAAUCUUCUUUGCUGUCAACAACAAUUUACUAGCAUCCCCUGCCAGUGCUGUGAUUAGAACAAAAUCAUCAGUGCAGUAUAAGAUAAGAGAAAGAAGUCUUAUUAUUUUCAAUCAUUUAAUAAUUUAAAUUUUUUGGUGAUAGUUUGUAGAAAUAAAAAAUUUGAUCAUUAAUCUGUUUUCAAGAUAAAUAACAGAUCUGAUUGCAUAUAAUAGGUUAUCCUAAGAUUUACCAUCCUACUCCUAAAAUUUCCCAUACAACUGAUAUUUAUAUAUGAUUUCAGGAAGUAUCAUAUUUAGAAAUACCCAAAAAGAAAAUACAUAAUGUAAUCGAGUCCCUUUUAAAAGUAGUAAAGCUAAAUUUAAUGACAAUAAAAUGAUUAAAAGAACUAAUGUAAAAAAUCAUAAUUUUCAUCUCAACAUAAAAAAAAGUAAGUAAGUCUGAAGAUUGAGUAGUAGGUCAGUUGCAAAUAAACUAGAAAAAUUUCACGUUAACAAUCAUAUCUCCAGUGCUCAACUGAUCUUCCCUUGGAUAAUGAAUAUCUCAAAUCGUCAAUUAAGCAAAAGUGCUAUUUACCAGGACUGAGGCCAAGAUAUAACUGAUAUGUUGAGGUUGCCCUUCCCCUCUUUAUAUAGCACUGUAUUGGAGAAUCUCUUGGUCCCGGCUGAAAGCAAUUCAAUCAUGAGAGUUUAAGAAAAGGAAACAACAUAAAUCAAAAACUUAAUUUAUGGAGUCUGCACUAAAGUGAAAAACGCAGAAGGAUUAAGUUACCUGCUUCAGUGACAUGGGGAAAGUGAACAACCCACAUUGUUCUGGAGUCCUAAUAACCUCUUUUGUUGUAGCCCUCCAUGACCUGCAAACUGCGGCACAACAAACCACGUCCCUCCGGGCAGGCCACACCGUCUCACUCACUUCUAAGCUUCGGAUUAUGUCAAGAAGCAACUCCGGGGGCAAAUUUGCCCACCUGCUCUGUUGAACUGUUGCAGGUGGAGAUGUAGACCUUUCAGGGGCUACAUAUGACCUUCCACGACCAGUUCCGCACUUCCUCUCAGCUUGCCUUCUUGACUUAUUCUCUAAACCUUCUCGGAUUCCCCGAAAUUCACGCACUAAAUAUCUAAGCAGCAUUAUACACUGAAUAUCCCUCGCUCAACCCGAAAGUUUAUCUAUAUAAUUUGAAAUUUUUUAAAAAUGAAUUAGCACAUGUCCCAUAAGAUUAGAUAAUUUAAUCAUAUAAACAUUCACACUCAUAUGAUCGAGUUUGCAUAACAUAACAGUCAGUUAAUCAGUAUAAUACCUGAAGAUCAAGGCUUACACAAAGCAAAAUAUGGAAUAGUUUGGAAGAUGCUUGAGGCCACAAAAAUCAAUACAAGUAGAGAAUGUAAAAUAAAACACUAAUUCAGACAAUUAAAUGAAGAAUAGGUCACCAAUGGUACAUUAAAAGAUAAAAUCAACAAUGAAAAAGGAUUCAAAAGUUUCAUUUUCAUUAGUUCACUCGAAAUAAGAAACUCGGAACUAAAAAUUGUAACUAUACUUCACCAGCCUGCUUAAUUGUUAAGAGAAAGUUGAAAAAAGGCAACAAAUUUAGAUUUUCUGACAUUAGGGCUUCCACAUUUAGAAACAAAAUCCCAGACAAACCAAAACAAAAACAAAAAAUUAAAACAAUUGUAUCCAAUUCCGUUUCAUUUCUCUCAGUUAUCUCAACAAUCAAUAAUCAUGAACAUUCUAGAAGAAUUCGAUAAUGCAGAAAUUUACCUAUUAUGAGAAAACUUCGUUAGAAUUCAGAUAGACGGAAACUUCAGAAAUUUCAGAUCCAAAGCGGAAUGUUGAUGUCUCCCAUAUACAAAACCACAAUCUCAGAUCAGAAAAUGCCCAAGUUCAUCGAGGAAUUCAAUGGCUCGAAAAACCAAUAUUAUAGUACUAUAUAUAUAUAUAUAUAUAUAUAUAUAUAUAUAUAUAUAUUUGUUGUUCCAAUGUAUCGGAGAAAACAAAAAGGAGUCUCUCUCCUCUCCCCACUCUGUACUCUUUGUUUUGUUUUGUGUAUUACGCAACACUAGGCAAAAAUUGGAAGGGCUACCGAGUAGAGAAACAAAACCACAAUUAGCACCACCGUCAGCUGCCACCACCACCGCCACCGCUAUCGAAUUUUUUUUCUCUAACGCCGAUUAAAGCUCUCGUCUUUGUGAAAAAUUUAUACUAGUAAUGUUUAAUUAAUUUAACCGUCCUUUUUAACUCUUUUUUUCCUGUUUAAGUUAACGGUAGGGUGUUUGUGUUGUGUGUGAGUGCUCAAACCUUUUGCGUGAUCUGCAUGACACGUGUCCAAAUAUUUGUGGGUGAUAAGGUUCUAUAUCAUUUUCAGUUUUGGGUAAGCGAAAUGGACUUUACCUUUAGGCUUUAGGCUCCACCGCAUGCUUUCUUAAAGUAACACAUAGGCCCAUGGUAAAUACAAAUUUUUCUUAUAUUUUUUUUUAAAAUAUACAUUAGAAAAUGAUAUACAUAUCUAUAAAUAUUUAACAAAAUUAAAUUGCUUGCGAUAACAUAGAAUAAAUUAAAAUAAGAUCAUUCUUAAUUCCUAUCUAUCUCACGUAUACAUGUACGUGACAAUCAUAAUCCAGCUGAAAAUUUUCGUUACGUAUAAUAUGAUUCAUAUAUAUAUAUAUAUAUAUAUAACAUGACAAUUUAGCACUUCUUCAUUUUAAUUUUUUCUUUGAAUAAAACUAGAAAUUAUAAGUAGAAUAUAUUUUACGAUCACAAAAUUGAAUUAUGCAAGUUGUUCUUCUUUAUACUUCUUCCGUUUUAAAUUAUAAUUAUUGACUUUUGAAAAAUCAAUUUCAAAAUUUUUAAACUCAAAAUUGACAUAAAUUCAAUUAAUUUAUGUCAAUAUAAUUAUAAAUAUUAUAAACAACCUAAAAAGUAUUAUUAGUUAUAUAAUUUAUUAUUUUAAAAACUUAAAUAAAUUAUGUCAAUUUUAACUUUAAAAAUAUCUUAAAUUAACUUUUAAAAAUUAAUAAUAAUUUUAUAAUUUAGAACAGAUUGAAUAUAAUUUUCACGAGAGUAAUAUUAACUAGGGUUCCAUCGACCAAUCUCCAUUCUUUCGACUCGUUGUUCUUGUUUGUUUUUUUUUUUAUGUUACUUUACUUUUUUAUGGUGUUUUAUUUCUCUUCAUUAUUUUUUUUAAGUUACAAAACUUUUUCAUAUCAUUAUGUUUGGUUUGGGAUCUGGUUACCAUGAAAUUAAUCAAUUGAUUAAUACGUACACACGGGACAUCUCUCAGCCUGCAUGUCGACAUUGUAUUAACUAAUUAAUCAAAAUUAACUUCUUGUUAACAUAAAAUAAAAUAUAAUGACAGAUUAAUAGACCACAAUCAUUAAAAGAUGUUCUUAACCUGCAACAAAUAUUUAAUCUUUCAGGCCACGCCCGACAACAAUAAUAAUAAGAUUGAAUUGCAUUAGAUAUGACUAAAUAUUGUCAUUAGGAAUAAUAAAUUUAUAUUAAAAAUUAGAUAAUAAAUUAUAUAAACAUGACAUUUAAAAUUAGUACUUUACACCAUUCAUAACAACAUGUCACAUAGGCAAUUUAGGGGAAAAUAAAUAAGAAUUUUCAAAUCCAGUAUAAUUAAUUAAACAAUAAAUAAAAAAUUAUAUAAGUAGUUAUUACAGAUUAUAUCUCUAAUUAUUUAUUUAUUUUUUUUAAAUUUACCUACAUGAUAUGUUACUAUUGGAUGGUUAUAAAACAAUAGUUUUACAAAUCAUACUUAUAUAAUUUAUUUUUAAAAAUUAUUACAAAAUUAUAUUUAAAUGUAUCACAUACUAAACAUUUAUAAUAGCGAGAAACUAGAAAUUUUAAUUUAUAGAACUCAUUUUUGGAAGGUAUGAACUAGGAAGUAUGUUAUUAAUUCUUUAUAUAUAUAUAUAUAUAUAUAUAUAUAUAUAUAUAUAUAUAUAUAUAUAAUGCAACCCCUAUCAUGCCUCGUGAAUAUGUCUACUAUUAAAAUAACAUCAAAAGGUAGAAAUAAUAAAUAAAAAGAAAAGGGCAGAAAAUUAAGCCCAUGCUCGAAAUUUAAAUUCGAUUACUAUGAUUAACUUCAUAGUAAGUUGCUGAAUUAAUUAAUACAGUAUUGACACGCAGAAAAAAAGAUCAUAUUUCAAUUUAUGUGUCAACAUUAUUGAUCAAUUGAUCCAAAUUAAUUUUAUGUUAACCACUCUCAAAAUUUAGACAAUAUGUGGACCCCUUUUGAAGUUUCUAUCACUAAUUUCCGUACCUGAAUGUGUUUGAUAUUCUUUUCUACUUCCAUGUAAUUCUUUUAUUCGAAACUUUUAUCCUAUUUUUGUUAGUUUAUUUACUAUUUAUUUAUUUUUUGACAAAAAAAGGUCAGUGUCCUUUUUAAGACUAAGUCGAGUGUCCUUUCACAUAAGGAAAAAAGAGUAUAAAAUUUCAAAAAAUAAAAGUGAAAAGGAAGUCAUUUAUCUUGAUUUUUAUUCUUUAAAAUUGGGGGAAAAAAAAUUAAAUAGAUGUGACGUCCCCAAAAUAUGUAUAUAUCACUUAUUUUGAGUCGUCAAAUACAUGAUACAGAAUACAAAUACAAUCUUUAAUAUACAACAAGAAAGUUAUGAGUUUUAAUACGAAUAUUGUCUUCUAGACAAUAUCCACUCUCAGAAUAAGUCUUCAUUAUAUUUAUUGUCACACUAUUUAACAGAAUAGUGAGGACUACUAAUACUAUCAUCUGGACCGUCACUCCGUUCCCCGACUAGUCCCGGCUACGUUCUCAUUUCCUGAAGAGAACAGUGAAAGAAAGGGUGAGCUCAACUAGCCCAGUAAGAAAUAUUAUGACUAAGAUAAUGCAGAAUAAAUUAUCAUUAGNNNNNNNNNNNNNNNNNNNNNNNNNNNNNNNNNNNNNNNNNNNNNNNNNNNNNNNNNNNNNNNNNNNNNNNNNNNNNNNNNNNNNNNNNNNNNNNNNNNNNNNNNNNNNNNNNNNNNNNNNNNNNNNNNNNNNNNNNNNNNNNNNNNNNNNNNNNNNNNNNNNNNNNNNNNNNNNNNNNNNNNNNNNNNNNNNNNNNNNNNNNNNNNNNNNNNNNNNNNNNNNNNNNNNNNNNNNNNNNNNNNNNNNNNNNNNNNNNNNNNNNNNNNNNNNNNNNNNNNNNNNNNNNNNNNNNNNNNNNNNNNNNNNNNNNNNNNNNNNNNNNNNNNNNNNNNNNNNNNNNNNNNNNNNNNNNNNNNNNNNNNNNNNNNNNNNNNNNNNNNNNNNNNNNNNNNNNNNNNNNNNNNNNNNNNNNNNNNNNNNNNNNNNNNNNNNNNNNNNNNNNNNNNNNNNNNNNNNNNNNNNNNNNNNNNNNNNNNNNNNNNNNNNNNNNNNNNNNNNNNNNNNNNNNNNNNNNNNNNNNNNNNNNNNNNNNNNNNNNNNNNNNNNNNNNNNNNNNNNNNNNNNNNNNNNNNNNNNNNNNNNNNNNNNNNNNNNNNNNNNNNNNNNNNNNNNNNNNNNNNNNNNNNNNNNNNNNNNNNNNNNNNNNNNNNNNNNNNNNNNNNNNNNNNNNNNNNNNNNNNNNNNNNNNNNNNNNNNNNNNNNNNNNNNNNNNNNNNNNNNNNNNNNNNNNNNNNNNNNNNNNNNNNNNNNNNNNNNNNNNNNNNNNNNNNNNNNNNNNNNNNNNNNNNNNNNNNNNNNNNNNNNNNNNNNNNNNNNNNNNNNNNNNNNNNNNNNNNNNNNNNNNNNNNNNNNNNNNNNNNNNNNNNNNNNNNNNNNNNNNNNNNNNNNNNNNNNNNNNNNNNNNNNNNNNNNNNNNNNNNNNNNNNNNNNNNNNNNNNNNNNNNNNNNNNNNNNNNNNNNNNNNNNNNNNNNNNNNNNNNNNNNNNNNNNAACUUCUAGACAUCGUUAAUAAUGCAAAUAAUAAUAUUAAUAACUCUGUCAUCUCAAUUAUUGAUUUAAUAAUAUAUAAAAUAUCGACAAUAAUUGAAUAAAACUGAAUGACUUCUCACGUAAGCAUCAAUAAUCAAUACCGUGUGCUACUAUGCAACCACGCGUAUUCCUGUACUUUUAACACCGGGUGUUUCAACAGUUAACGGUAAAACUUCCGUCGUUAUUUUUAAUAAAAUAUUUUUAUCGUUUUCUCAAUCCGACAAUAAUUCCGUUGUGGGGUCCACCAAUGAUUAUGCCGUCGUACGAAUAUUCCCUGUUAAAACGAAUAUUCUCCGACCAAUCGACUAUUAUAUAACAACUUGCGUACUUUGCAAAAUUUAUAAAUAUUACCUACAACUAUAACAUUAUAUCAAAUUCAUUCAAAAAUGAUAAUUAUAGAAAAUUCAUCUUUAUUCAUAAAAGUUGGGGUCUUACAAUAGAAGAGUAUCUUUUAUGCAAAUUUAUUGUUAAGUCUUACUUAAUAUCCUACUUCAUUUGUCAUUUAUUAUAUUUUAUAAAAAUUGAUAUUUCUACAUGUUAAAAUGAUAUUUUCAUAUGAGUCUCUUUCACAUGGAGGUGAAACUCUGUAAGACCCCAACUUUUAUGAAUAAAAUAAAAUUUUCUCUAUUUAUUAUUUUGAAAUAGUAAGGGGUUGAUUCGAUUAAUAUGGUUAGUUAUGGGUAAAAUGCACAAAUAUUUUAAAUAAGCAAGUGGUUAUAAAAUAUUCAUUUUUAUCGGGAAAUAUUCGUUUGGUCGUGGAAUAUUCUCGUUGUCGGGGAAUAUUCGUACGACGGCGCAACCAUUUGUGGGCCUCAUAACGGAAAAUUGUCGGAUAAAAAAAACGACACGAAUGAGUUUUUUUAAUAAUAACGGCGUAAUGUUUACCGUUAAAACUGUUGAAAUACCCGGUGGUUAAAGUAAAGUAAUACUUGCACAGUAGCACACGAUAUUGCACGAUAAUUCUAAUUAUUGAUUCUUACGUAAGAAGUCACUACUCAAUAAUUGUUACAGUAAUUACUGUUUAAUAUUUUCUUUUAUUGAUUCAAUAAUUGCUACGUUGAUAUUUUAUAUAUAUUAUUGAUUCAAUCAUUGUCAUUGCACAGUAUUUUCCAUUAUUGUAAGACCCCAACUUUAUAUAAAUAAAAUUGAAUUUUCCUCUAAUUAUUAUUUUGAAAUAAUAAGGUGUUAAUUUGAUAUAAUAUUUUGGUUAUGGGUGAAAUGUGCAAAUUUAACAAAAUAAGCAAGUGGUUAUAAAAUAUUCAUUGUUGUCGGGGAAUAUUCGUUUUGUCGUGGAAUAUUCUUUUUGUCGGGAAUAUUCGUACGAUGGUGCAGCCAUUUGUGGGCCACAUAACGGAAAACGGUUGGAUGAAGGAAAACGACAAAGUAUGAGUUUUUAUAAAUAACGGCGUAAUUGUUACUGUUAACACUGUUGGAUUACCUGGUGGUUAAAAUACAGUAAUACGCGUGGUUGCACAGUAGCACACGGUAUUGCACAGUAUUGUUGAAUUAUUGAUUCUUACGUAAGAAGGCACUACCAAUAAUUGUUACAGUAGUUGUGACGCCCCCAAAAUAGGUAUACAUCACCCAUCUUGAGUCGCCAAAUACAUGGUACAUAAUACAAAUACAAACUUAAUUAUACAACAGUCGUGCAAUAUACGACAAUACAUAAACUGAGAGUUUUAAUAGGAAUAUUGUCAUCUAGACAAUAUCCAUACUCAAAAGAGUCAUCAUUACAAUUAUUGUCACACUAUUUAACAAAAUAGUGAGGACUACUAAUGCUAUCAUCUGGACCGUCACUCCUUUUCCCGACUCGUCCCAGCUAUAUUCUCAUUUUCUGAAGAGAACAGUGAAAGAAAGGGUGAGCUCAACUAGCCCAGUAAGAAAUAUGAUGACUAUGAUAAUGCAGAAUAAAUUAUCAAUAGUCUUCAACAAUGUUAAAUUGAUAAAAUACAAUAGACAUCAAGUUUAACUGCAGCAAUCCAUUAGAAGAGUCAAGUAGAGAAUAAAACCUACUAUCUUCUAUGAUUUAAAAAUGUUUUCAUCAAUUUUUAUCGCUGAGACUCAGCUUAAUAAAUAAAACACAUCAUCUAAUUAUCCAUGUACUACGGGCCAAGGAUAUUCAUUAAAUCAUCAAUGGUCAUGACUAUACCGAACAAUCUCUGGUCAUAAUUAUACCAAAAACUGUCCAUCAAUGCAUUACAGGCCACUGAGGACUUUUACCAUAUCAUUUAUAACAUUACAGGUCAUGAUUAUACCGAAUGAUCCCUGGUCAUAAUUAUACUAAGUCCAUCUAUGCACAUAAGCCAAAGAUGACUUUCAUUAUAAUAUAAGCAUGAGGAUGAUGACAAUGACAUAAUAAUUCAAUAAAACAAGUUCAAGAAUUAAUUUAUCCAAGAACUAAUAACGUCCAAAUUGUCAACACGAUACUUCUUUGUAGAGUAAAAUUCAAGAAUGAUCAGAAGAAUAUUUCCAUGAAAAAUACUGGAUGAAGCGCAAAUAUCAAGAAUAUUCUACCAAUUUCAUGGAGUAUAGAAGUCAAAACUUUAACCAACUGAGUAUAAGAAAGAAUAUAUGAAACUGCAAAUAGAUUUUCACCCGCCAUGCGGUAAUCCACGUAUACAGAUCAUUUCCACAAUUUAAUAAGGGAUGAAUACAAAGGAUCAUUCACCAUGCAUGUGGAAAUCCACAUAGACAGGUUAUUCCAACAGAAUAAUAAAGAAUGGAAUAACAGAAGGAUUCACCAUGCAUGCGAUAGAGACCGCACAUACAGGUUAUUUCCAACAGAAUAAUAAAUAAUGGAACCAGGUCUGGCGUAAACGCACAGACAGGAUAUUCUGACAGAAUAAUAAAUGCGAAAUAAUAAAUAAUAGAACCAGGUCCGGCGUAAAAUGUACAGACAGGAUAUUCCGACAGAAUAAUAAAUGCGGAAUAAUAAAUAAUGGAACCAGGUCCGGCGUAAAACGCACAGACAGGAUAUUCCUACAGAAUAAUAAAGAAUGAAAUAAUAGAAGAAUUCCACCAUGUAUGUGGUACUUCGCAUAGACAGAUUAUUCUAACAUAAUAAUAAAGAAUGGAAUAAUAGAAGAAGAUCACCAUGUAUGCGGUACUUCGCAUAAGCAGGUUAUUCCAACAUAAUAAUAAAGAAUGGAAUAACAGAAGCUCUCUUCAUGAAUAUAAAAGAAUAAUACCCCUUACAGGUACAAUAAAUAAUAUCCCUUACCUUAGAAGAAACUGGAUAUUGGAAUAGAAAGGUAGUUAACUUCUCUUCUUCUUUCUCUAUAUAAUUUCUCUCUCAAGAGUUUCAGUGAAUUCAUAAGAAAUAAUGAAGGAAUGAGCUUCUAUUUAUAGAAGAAUGGACUGAAUAGUAACUAAUUCAUGAACGGUCCAGAUUGAUUUACUAUUAAACUUUAAACCAACGGUCCAUACUGAUUCACUAUUAAACUUUAAACCAACGGUCUGAAAAAUUAGCACAUCUCCUCAUGGAAUAAUAUUGUACCCAAAAAUGAUUUGGACUAAAAAUAAAUAUAUUGUUUGGUGAAUAGUACCCUGUGAAUAGUACUCGUGAAUAGUAACUCAUAAAUAGUAACUCAUGAAUAGUAACUCGUGAAUAGUAACUCGUGAAUAGUAUUCCGACACGAAAAGUGUCCCAAAUACCCGAGUGAACAAUAUAAUCUCCAGACAUCAAUUAUUAUCGACAUAAAUAUCGAUUUCUACUAACACUAAUAAUUUCCACACAAUGGAACUAUCAAUUUCAUCUUUAAUCAACACGAGCUUAUUCAUCAUCAAUAUUAUAACUCACAAUAUUUAACAACCAGGUCGUUCCCAGGAAAGAGAGGGCUUUCCAAUAAAGAUUUCUUCCUAUUGGCGCGCAAUUAGGUGACCAAACCUCUCCUUGACAGAACUUCUAGACAUUGUAAAUAUUGUAAUUUAAUAAUAUGAAUAACUUUGUCGUCUCAAUUAUUGAUUUAAUAAUAUAUCAUAUAAUGCAGAUGAUACUGUGACAAUAACUAAAUCAAUAAUAUGAGAGAUAUUGUAACGCCCCCAAAAUAGGUCCAUUCCAUCCAACCCAUUUUGAGUCGCCAAAUAUAUGGUACAGAAAACAACUACAAAUUUAUUACAACAAUUGUCUUGCAAAAUACAACAACACAUAUGUUGUGAGUUUGGAUACAAAUAUAUAUCAACUGUGACUCAUGUCCCAACCGUGGACAGCAGCUCAUAAUGACACCUUACAUAAAGGUAUAGUCGAAAACUGUUUUAAAAAUUAGAAUCUUUGGGAAGUGCUCAAGGAAACCUUCGUACAUGGGAGGCCAUGCNNNNNNNNNNNNNNNNNNNNNNNNNNNNNNNNNNNNNNNNNNNNNNNNNNNNNNNNNNNNNNNNNNNNNNNNNNNNNNNNNNNNNNNNNNNNNNNNNNNNUGCUGAACCUUCUCUUCUUGAACUUUCCACUCCUAUUGUCUUGGCCAUGAUUACCACCGAAGUGGUUAUCAUUUUUGGCAUGUUGAUUUCCUCCACGUUUGUUAUCACCGCUUCGAUGACUGCUACCACUGGUAUUAUCAACUUAUCGGUUACUCUCUCUUGGUUGGGUUGACUCAUUAUCGCGCUCCAAUAACUGAGCCCUACUCACAACAUCUGAAUACAAACACAGUUUAUGAGAGAUAAGGUAUUGACGUAUCUCGGGUUUCAAACCUCUUAGAAACAUCCGCGUCAUUCUCUCCUCAUUAUCAACCAAGUGGGACGCAAACCGAGACAACUCGACAAACUUAGCUUCGUACUGCGCCAUGGUCAUAUUGUUUUGCUUAAGUUUGAUGAACUCUACCUCCUUCAUGUGACGAAUACUUUCAGGAAAGUACUUGUCAUUGAACAGCUCUUAGAACUUCUCCCAAAACAUCUUCAGUGCAGCAGGUUGAGUACGCUUUAUAGAUUCCCACCAGUAAUCUGCCUCUGCAAGCAACAUGAAGGUGGCAAAGGGAACCUUUUGCUCCUCGGAGCAUCCCAAGACAUCAAAUAUCUUUUUGAUCUGCUUUAUCCACGUCUCCGCUUUAAGUGGUUUUGGCUCUCCAAAAAAAUUCGGUGGUCCCAGCUCCUUGAACUGCUUAGCGGUGACCGACCGUGAGUUGUUAGUGUUUUCACCUGCAUUUUGGACAGGAGCCGCCUUCGCCUGAUGUUGCAUGAAUUGCAUAAAGCCUCUGACCAUCCCAUCAUUCACCAUUUCAUUGGUGUUAUUGUUUUCAUGAGGAUUAUUGUCUUCCUGUUGCACAUUACCUUGGACAUUGAUCGUUGGUGACUCAACGGUCUCACGUGCUUCAUUGCUUAUCUAAACAUUUUUGGAUGCCAUGUUCAAAUACUGCAACAAAACAAGGGUUAAUUAACAUAUCACAUAUUAUCCAUAUAUUCUGACCGACCAAUUAAAUACCAAAUAAACUUAGGUAGGUCAUACUAGCGAAGAAAUUCCCCCGUCUCUCCCCUCCUAGCUCUUGUCUCAAAUCUUAGCCAGGGAUCAUAUCCCUAAGCUUUGAUACCAACUGUGACGCCCCCAAAAUAGGUAUACAUCACCCAUCUUGAGUUGCCAAAUAUAUGGUACAGAAUACAAAUACAAACUUAAUUAUACAACCGUCGUGUAAUAUACGACAAUACAUAAACUGAGAGUUUUAAUAGGAAUAUUGUCAUUUAGACAAUAUCCACACUCAAAGGAGUCCUCAUUACAUUUAUUGUCACACUAUUUAACAGAAUAGUGAGGACUACUAAUGUUAUCAUCUGGACCAUCACUCCUUUCCCCGACUAGUCCCAGCUAUAUUCUCAUUUUUUGAAGAGAACAUUGAAAGAAAGGGUGAGCUCAACUAGCCCAGUAAGAAAUAUUAUGACUAUGAUAAUGCAGAAUAAAUUAUCAAUAGUCUUCAACAAUGUUAAACUGAUAAAAUACAAUAGACAUCGAGUUUAACUGCAGCGGAAUAAAUAAUCUAUUAGAAGAGUCAAAUAGAGAAUAAAACCUACUAUCUUCUAUGAUUUAAAAAUGUUUUCAUCAAUUUUUAUCGUUGAGACUCAGCUUAAUAAAUAAAACACAUCAUCUAAUCAUCCCUGUACUAUGGGCCAAGGAUAUUCAUUAAAUCAUCAAUGGUCAUGACUAUACCGAACAAUUCAUGGUCAUAAUCAUACCAAAAACUGUCCAUCAAUGCAUUACAGGCCACUGAGGACUUUUACCAUAUCAUUUAUAACAUUACAGGUCAUGAUUAUACCGAAUGAUCCCUGGUCAUAAUCAUACUAAGUCCAUCUAUGCACGUAAGCCAAAGAUGACUUUCAUUAUAAUAUAAGCAUGAGGAUGAUGACAAUGACAUAAUAAUUCAAUAAAACAAGUUCAAGAAUUAAUUUAUCCAAGAACUAAUAACGUCCAAAUUUUCAACACGAUACUUCUUUGUAGAGUAAAAUUCAAGAAUGCUCAGAAGAAUAUAUCCAUGAAAAAUACUGGAUGAAGCGCAAAUAUCAAGAAUAUUCCACCAAUUUCAUGGAGUAUAGAAGUCAAAACUUUAACCAACUGAGUAUAAGAAAGAAUAUAUAAAACUGCAAAUGGAUUUUCACCCGCCAUGCGGUAAUCCACGUAUAUAGAUCAUUUCCACAAUUUAAUAAGGGGUGAAUACAAAGAAUCAUUCACCAUGCAUGUGAAAAUCCAUAUAGACAGGUUAUUCCAACAGAAUAAUAAAGAAUGGAAUAACAAAAGGAUUCAUCAUGCAUGCGAUAGAGACCGCACAUACAGGUUAUUCCCAACAGAAUAAUAAAUAAUGGAACCAGGUCCGGCGUAAAUGCACAGACAGGAUAUUCCGACAGAAUAAUAAAUGCGGAAUAAUAAAUAAUGGAACCAGGUCUGGCGUAAAACGCACAGACAGGAUAUUUCGACAGAAUAAUAAAUACAAAAUAAUAAAUAAUGGAACUAGGUCCGACGUAAAACUCACAGACAGGAUAUUCUGAUAGAAUAAUAAAGAAUGAAAUAAUAGAAGAAUUUCACCAUGUAUGUGGUACUUCGCAUAGACAGGUUAUUCCAACAUAAUAAUAAAGAAUGGAAUAACAGAAGCUCUCUUCAUGACUAUGAAAGAAUAAUAUGGGUGGAAAUGAUAGCAACGCGCGGUUUGUCACAGCCAAGCAGUUCAAGGAGUUGGGACCACCAGAAUUCUUUGGAGAGUCGGAUCCGAUUAAGGCGGAAACGUGGGUCAAGCAAAUUACCAAGAUAUUCGAUGUCUUGGGAUGCACGGAGGAACAGAAGGUUCCAUUCGCCACCUUUAUGUUUCGUGGUGAGGCAGAUUACUGGUGGGAAUCUGUGAAGCGUACCCAGCCUGCCACACUCAAUAUGUCUUGGGAAACGUUUCAGAAACUGUUCAAUGAUAAGUACUUUCCUGAAAGUAUUCGUCACAUGAAGGAGGUAGAGUUCAUC